RNAcentral lists this ribosomal RNA (450 nucleotides) under uncultured bacterium. Its description in RNAcentral is "bacterial SSU rRNA". It matches the Rfam family "Bacterial small subunit ribosomal RNA", at positions 375 to 845 of the family's 1533-position model. The record is from RNAcentral.
GCGCAAGCCUGAUCCAGCCAUGCCGCGUGAGUGAAGAAGGCCCUAGGGUUGUAAAGCUCUUUCACCCGCGAAGAUGAUGACGGUAGCGGAGAAGGAGCCCCGGCUAACUCCGUGCCAGCAGCCGCGGUAAUACGGAGGGGGCAAGCGUUGUUCGGAAUUACUGGGCGUAAAGGGCGCGUAGGCGGUCUGUUGCGUCAGGUGUGAAAGCCCCGGGCUCAACCUGGGAGGUGCACUUGAUACGGGCGACUUGAAUCCGGGGAGAGGAUGGUGGAAUUCCCAGUGUAGAGGUGAAAUUCGUAGAUAUUGGGAAGAACACCGAUGGCGAAGGCAGCCAUCUGGACCGGUAUUGACGCUGAGGCGCGAAAGCGUGGGGACAAACAGGAUUAGAUACCCUGGUAGUCCACGCCGUAAACGAUGUGCGCUAGCCGUCGGGCAGCAUGCUGUUCGGUG